Molecule: ribosomal RNA, 372 nt
Filed under: Triticum aestivum (bread wheat)
Lineage: Eukaryota; Viridiplantae; Streptophyta; Magnoliopsida; Poales; Poaceae
Description: partial small subunit ribosomal RNA
Source: RNAcentral
AUGUAUGGGUUUAAAGUAGAUAUACCUCAUGCUCGAGUUAAAGUAAACACUUCACAUACUUCUUGUAGAGUUUACUAUUAUUUUUUGAGUUUUUUGGGUGCAAUCAUUGAUUUUCACAUAAAAAUUAGGAAAUUACGUUUUCAGGUAGGAAUUAUAUCACAAAAGGCAUCCCCAGGCGUGCCAUUUUCACAGUUGAAAGAAGAUGAUAAGCUUCUAGUCGUCAACAAAUGUAUUGAUGAAUUUCCACAAUUAGUAAUGCAAAUUAGCGUCGGCUUCAGUUUUCUGGUUUUCUUUUGCAAUCUGCAUCUCCAUAGAUUGUUUGGGCAAUAUAGAACUGAAGCACUUGCAGUUUCUGUACAGUUUUGGAUAUAA